UCCUUUUCUACUUUCUGCACCUCAUUGGCAACAUGAAUAGACUGAUAUGCCCUUUGUUACUCAUAAACUGCACCACCCUAUUCUCUUUGUGCUGUUGCACCCUAUUCCCAUCCUCCUGGGCAGCAACAAGUCGACCUUUUUUGGGCUCGUGUCUUCGCCACCGACCUCCUCAUGUUCAUGGUGAACACCCUUAAGCUCGUCAUGGUGGCACUCUGAAAAAUCUAUUAAAUUAGGGUUGGGGAUGAGCAAGGCAGUGUCAAC
RNAcentral lists this long non-coding RNA (261 nucleotides) under Glycine max (soybean). RNAcentral's name for it is "long non-coding RNA (GMAX_LNC001890)". The record is from RNAcentral. Lineage: Eukaryota; Viridiplantae; Streptophyta; Magnoliopsida; Fabales; Fabaceae.